This 255-nucleotide ribosomal RNA is filed under the name uncultured bacterium. RNAcentral describes it as "partial 16S ribosomal RNA". It matches the Rfam family "Bacterial small subunit ribosomal RNA", at positions 524 to 776 of the family's 1533-position model. The record is from RNAcentral.
UACGAAGGGGGCUAGCGUUGCUCGGAAUGACUGGGCGUAAAGGGCGCGUAGGCGGAUGGCACAGUCAGAUGUGAAAUUCCCGGGCUUAACCUGGGGGGCUGCAUUUGAUACGUGUGAUCUAGAGUGAGGAAGAGGGUCGUGGAAUUCCCAGUGUAGAGGUGAAAUUCGUAGAUAUUGGGAAGAACACCAGUGGCGAAGGCGGUUGCCUGGAGCUUUGCUGACGCUGAGGCGCGAAAGCGUGGGGGAGCGAUCCGG